Molecule: long non-coding RNA, 222 nt
Organism: Etheostoma spectabile (orangethroat darter)
Lineage: Eukaryota; Metazoa; Chordata; Actinopteri; Perciformes; Percidae
Exons: 3
Source: RefSeq, a predicted model, not a curated record
CAACAGGCUGAACGCUGCACAGAGAAGCACACAAAGAAAAAUGAUUUCCUCUUGUAUAAGCAAUGUCAGCAUUAGUUAGGAUCAGGGGUGUCAGACUUAGGGGGCCGAGUACACAGAAAUAUGCUAGGAUGAGUAGCUGUGGAUGUGGGGAGGGGCCCAUAGAGAAUUCCUUUGUACAGGACCCAGAAUGUUGUGUUAAGCCCCUGCUUCCCUGUCCAAUCC